This 452-nucleotide ribosomal RNA is filed under the name uncultured bacterium. RNAcentral's name for it is "bacterial SSU rRNA". It matches the Rfam family "Bacterial small subunit ribosomal RNA", at positions 1052 to 1504 of the family's 1533-position model. The record is from RNAcentral.
UCGUCAGCUCGUGUCGUGAGAUGUUGGGUUAAGUCCCGCAACGAGCGCAACCCUUAUUGUUAGUUGCCAUCAUUUAGUUGGGCACUCUAGCGAGACUGCCGGUGACAAACCGGAGGAAGGUGGGGAUGACGUCAAAUCAUCAUGCCCCUUAUGACCUGGGCUACACACGUGCUACAAUGGGAAGUACAACGAGUCGCUAGACCGCGAGGUCAUGCAAAUCUCUUAAAGCUUCUCUCAGUUCGGAUUGCAGGCUGCAACUCGCCUGCAUGAAGCCGGAAUCGCUAGUAAUCGCGGAUCAGCACGCCGCGGUGAAUACGUUCCCGGGCCUUGUACACACCGCCCGUCACACCACGAGAGUUUGUAACACCCGAAGUCGGUGAGGUAACCUUUUUGGAGCCAGCCGCCUAAGGUGGGAUAGAUGAUUGGGGUGAAGUCGUAACAAGGUAACCGUA